Molecule: long non-coding RNA, 637 nt
Organism: Mustela erminea (ermine)
Lineage: Eukaryota; Metazoa; Chordata; Mammalia; Carnivora; Mustelidae
Exons: 4
Source: RefSeq, a predicted model, not a curated record
ACUGAACCGGACACAUUACUUUCUAGCUGAGCACACAGCCUGAUCCACUUCUGGACAGCUGAGCCUCCCGGACACCUGCAUCAAGGAAGAUGGAGACUUCCGGGUGGCAAGUGACUGACACAGGGGAUCUGUCCUAGAAAGCAAGAGUCAGAGACAAGAAGAGUGAAGCAGAGAAGAAGAGAGAGAGCAGAUUGAAGAAUUCAUUACCUAGCUGAUUGCCAUUAAAGGUGAUUUAUAGCGUGAUAUUGAGGGACUGUCACAACUUCUGGAGCAACAACAAGAACAACAAAACCCCAGCAUCUCAAGAAAGAGAAGAAUUUAUCUGCCAGUUCCUAUUUUUCAUUGGCCAGAAGUUCACCCAGUGGGAUGUUGAAGCUCCCAUAAGCUGUUAAUCGGGAAGUCCUAGAGAAAGGCACAAGAGACCAUGAGUGCAUGCCUAACAAUCUAAGUGGUGACCGUCCAAAGGAAGAGUGAUGUGCACACCUGGCGCUUGUGCCCAGGCAGAAACGACAAUGGUGAAUGUGAGCUGAUCUGCAAACAGAAGAAUUCAGAAAUGAUAAAUGGAAGAGGUAUUUAACAUCACAAGGAAUCCAAGAUGAUGACUGGCUUCUUUGGCUCUGCCAUGAACAGAAGCCAU